Molecule: ribosomal RNA, 230 nt
Filed under: uncultured bacterium
Lineage: Bacteria
Description: partial 16S ribosomal RNA
Rfam family: Bacterial small subunit ribosomal RNA
Source: RNAcentral
UGAGGAACAUGACCUUCGGCGGGGGAUAGCCGGCCCAACGGCCGGGUAAUACCGCGUACGACCACAUGGGGACAUCCCUGAGUGGUGAAAGCAGCAAUGCGCCGAUGGAGUGCCUCGCGGCCUAUCAGCUAGUUGGUGAGGUAACGGCUCACCAAGGCGACGACGGGCAGCUGGUCUGAGAGGAUGGCCAGCCACAUUGGGACUGAGACACGGCCCAGAUCCCGUACGGG